AUUGAACGCUGGCGGCAUGCCUUACACAUGCAAGUCGAACGGCAGCACGGGGGCAACCCUGGUGGCGAGUGGCGAACGGGUGAGUAAUGCAUCGGAACGUGCCCAGUAGUGGGGGAUAACCAGUCGAAAGAUUGGCUAAUACCGCAUACGACCUACGGGUGAAAGCGGGGGACCGUAAGGCCUCGCGCUAUUGGAGCGGCCGAUGUCGGAUUAGCUAGUUGGUGGGGUAAAGGCCCACCAAGGCGACGAUCCGUAGCUGGUCUGAGAGGACGAUCAGCCACACUGGAACUGAGACACGGUCCAGACUCCUACGGGAGGCAG
Molecule: ribosomal RNA, 321 nt
Filed under: uncultured Pseudomonadota bacterium
Lineage: Bacteria; Pseudomonadati; Pseudomonadota
Description: bacterial SSU rRNA
Rfam family: Bacterial small subunit ribosomal RNA
Source: RNAcentral